This 468-nucleotide ribosomal RNA is filed under the name uncultured bacterium. RNAcentral's name for it is "partial 16S ribosomal RNA". It matches the Rfam family "Bacterial small subunit ribosomal RNA", at positions 28 to 507 of the family's 1533-position model. The record is from RNAcentral.
GACGAACGCUGGCGGCGUGCUUAAUACAUGCAAGUCGAACGGAAAGGCCCGGCUUUUGUGGGGUGCUCGAGUGGCGAACGCGGGAGUAACACGCGAGGAACCCGCCCUUGACUUUGGGAUAACUUCAGGAAACUGGGGCUAAUACAGGAUAUGAGCUCCUGCUGCGUGGGGGGGGUUGGAGAGUUUCGGCGGUGGGGGAUGGACUAGCGGCUUACCAGCUUGUUUGGCGGGUAGGGGCUGACCACGGCUUUGACGGGUAGCCGGCCUGAGAGGGUGACCGGCGACCUUGGGACUGCGAUACGGACCAGUCUCCUACGGGAGGCAGCAGUGGGGAAUAUUGCGCAAUGGCCGCAAGCCUGAUGCAGCAACGCCGCGUGCGGGAUGACGUCCUUCGGGUUGUAAACCGCUUUCGCCUGUGCCGAAGCGUGCGUGACGGUACUGAGUCAGAAAGCCCCGGCUAACUACGUG